AGGACGGACGCUGGCGGCGUGCUUAACACAUGCAAGUCGAGCGGUAAGGCCUUUCGGGGUACACGAGCGGCGAACGGGUGAGUAACACGUGGGUGAUCUGCCCUGCACUCUGGGAUAAGCCUGGGAAACUGGGUCUAAUACCGGAUAUGACCUGCUCUCGCAGUGGGGGUGGGUGGAAAGUAUUUAUCGGUGCAGGAGUGGGCCCGCGGCCUAUCAGCUUGGUUGGGUGGGUAAUGGCCUACCGAAGGCGACGACGGGUAGCCGACCUGAGGAGGGUCGACCGGCCACACGUGGGACUGAGACACGGCCCAGACCUCCGUACGGGAGGCAGCGAGGUAGGGAAUAGUUGCAACAAGUGGGACGAAAGCCUGAUGCAGCGACGCCGCGUAGAGGAUGGAACGGUCCGUUACGGGUUACGUAAACCCGUC
RNAcentral lists this ribosomal RNA (428 nucleotides) under uncultured soil bacterium. RNAcentral's name for it is "bacterial SSU rRNA". It matches the Rfam family "Bacterial small subunit ribosomal RNA", at positions 26 to 435 of the family's 1533-position model. The record is from RNAcentral.